Molecule: ribosomal RNA, 481 nt
Filed under: uncultured bacterium
Lineage: Bacteria
Description: partial 16S ribosomal RNA
Rfam family: Bacterial small subunit ribosomal RNA
Source: RNAcentral
AUUGAACGCUGGCGGCAUGCUUUACACAUGCAAGUCGAACGGUAACAGGCCGCAAGGUGCUGACGAGUGGCGAACGGGUGCGUAAUGCAUCGGAACGUGCCCAGUCGUGGGGGUAACUACUGGGAAAGAGAAGUAAAUACGGAUUACUACCAUUGGUUGAAGGUGGGGGCCGUAAGGGCUCUGGGCGAUUGGUGGGUCGAUGUCGGGUUAGGGAGUUGGUGGGGUAAAGGCUCACCAAGCCAACGAUCUGUAGCUGGUCUGAGAGGACGACCAGCCACACUGGGACUGAGACACGGCCCAGACUCCUACGGGAGGCAGCAGUGGGGAAUUUUGGACAAUGGGCGCAAGCCUGAUCCAGCAAUGCCGCGUGCAGGAAGAAGGCCUUCGGGUUGUAAACUGCUUUUGUACGGAACGAAACGGCUCUGGUUAAUACCCGGGGCUAAUGACGGUACCGUAAGAAUAAGCACCGGCUAACUACGUG